AGGUCUCCUCCAAGUGUGGGUCUAAGGCUAACAUCAAGCACAAGCCUGGUGGAGGAGAUGUCAAGAUUGAAAGUCAGAAGUUGAACUUCAAGGAGAAGGCCCAGGCCAAGGUGGGAUCCCUCGAUAAUGUGGGCCACCUACCUGCAGGAGGUGCUGUGAAGGUAGCGAGUGGGUCACUGGGGAGACACAGCUGGGGAGGGGUGGGAACUAUGCAGUUAGGGUCAGGGUCCUCACAGGUAGGCACCUGUCACCGCCCCUCAGUCUCUUCAGGAGUCAUGUCUUCA
Molecule: long non-coding RNA, 284 nt
Filed under: Homo sapiens (human)
Lineage: Eukaryota; Metazoa; Chordata; Mammalia; Primates; Hominidae
Description: non-protein coding lnc-SMARCC1-2:1
Source: RNAcentral